Molecule: ribosomal RNA, 2346 nt
Filed under: Drosophila erecta
Lineage: Eukaryota; Metazoa; Arthropoda; Insecta; Diptera; Drosophilidae
Description: eukaryotic LSU rRNA
Rfam family: Eukaryotic large subunit ribosomal RNA (bases 1217-2194)
Source: RNAcentral
UCUGCUUCUUCUCAUCGAUGGAAAUUCCCGAGCCGUUCUAGAGGAAAAAGGAGCGCAACUGAUGUCCAUCGUUGAAACGUGGGGAGCGGAAAUAGGCGUUGCCGUUUCAACCAGCAAGACGGUAAUAAUGCUGCUCAAAGGUGCCUUGAGACGUGCGCCUACGGUAAGAUUCGCUGGAGCGAACCUGCCGUAUGUGCGUAGCUGUCGGUACCUUGGCAUCACGGUCAGUGAAGGAAUGAAAUUCCUCACGCACAUAGCUCUGCUUUGCCAGCGGAUGACCGGAGUCGUCGACUGGGGCAUCAGUCAUCGAGCCAGGCGGACCAUAUAUGCGGGACUCAUUGCCAUUGUGUGCUGUUUGGUGCCUCGGUAUGGUAUGACACCGCCGCACAGGUAGCUGCCAGGAAGCGACUGUCCUCCUACCAUAGACUGAUCCUGCUUGGAUGUCUAUCGGUAUGUCGAACAGUCUGCCGAACGACUGGCUCUAUGGCGAGGACGUUGCCCGUCUAAGCCGGGAGCAAAAAGAGAUUCGCCUAGAGGAAUACUUGCUAUUGAGUUGGCAAAGCAGAUGGGAUGACGACAGCGAACCAGGACGGGGGACGCACAGGUUCAUCCCGGACGUCACCCUUGUCUAUCGGGAUCCAAAUGUUGGUUUCUCGAUGAUGGCGUCUUUCUUGCUCACUGGGCACGGGUCGUUCAACUGAGGGAGAGCCCUCAGCGAUACCACUGCUUGCGCAUGUGGUGAUCCAUACGAGGAUUGGGAGCACGUGUUGUGCGCCUGCACCCUAUAUGCAGAUUUGCGAGACCUCGAUGGACUUGGAGUGCAGCGCGUUGGCGAGGACUGGACAUUUAGAAGAAUCCUGGAGGAUCGGGAGAGAACCCAACGGCUGGCUGUUUUCGCUGAGUUGCCGUUCCGCAGAAGAAGGGGCACUUAGCCUGACGCUUCGCCGUGUGGUUAGCGGUCGAGAAUACUGCCACAGCUUGCAAUAGGUCACUCCGCCCGUGCUUGUCGGCUAGGUAGAUCUCGCUCCUCAGCAAGGGGGAGUGCUUGGCCGGCAAGCAAGCACUCGAAUUGCUACCGGGGUGGUUGCUAUGUACAUAGCUAUAGCUUCCAGACCGGCACGUUUUGUCUAGCGUAUCUGGACACAUGCAUUAUAUGCGCACUUGUGGGUGUAUAGGGUGCCGUGGUUGUAAUCCCUUCAAUGUGGAACACGCCACGUAAAACAAGUUCGGAGGGAUCCGAUUCAAACACUGUCCCUAUCUACUAUCUAGCGAAACCACAGCCAAGGGAACGGGCUUGGAAUAAUUAGCGGGGAAAGAAGACCCUUUUGAGCUUGACUCUAAUCUGGCAGUGUAAGGAGACAUAAGAGGUGUAGAAUAAGUGGGAGAUAUUAGACCUCGGUUUGGUAGCGUCAAUGAAAUACCACUACUCUUAUUGUUUCCUUACUUACUUGAUUAAAUGGAAUGUGUAUCAUUUCCUACCCAUUAUACGGAUAUAUUUACUAUAUCUUAUGGUAUUGGGUUUUGAUGCAAGCUUCUUGAUCAAAGUAUCACGAGUUUUCAUAUAAUCGCAAACAAAUUCUUUAAUAUAAUAAAACGAUGCAUUUAUGUAUUUUUGAUUUGAAAAUUUGGUAUAACUCUUUGGUAUGACCCAAUUCAAGGACAUUGCCAGGUAGGGAGUUUGACUGGGGCGCUACAUCUCUCUAAUAAUAACGGAGGUGUCCCAAGGCCAGCUCAGUGCGGACAGAAACCGCACAUAGAGCAAAAGAGCAAAUGCUGACUUGAUCUCGGUGUUCAGUACACACAGGGACAGCAAAAGCUCGGCCUAUCGAUCCUUUUGGUUUAAAGAGUUUUUAACAAGAGGUGUCAGAAAAGUUACCAUAGGGAUAACUGGCUUGUGGCGGCCAAUCGUUUAUAGUGAUCAUUGUGAAGCAAAAUUCACCAAGCGUUGGAUUGUUCACCCAUGCAAGGAAACGUGAACUGGGUUUAGACCGUCGUGAGACAGGUUAGUUUUACCAUACUAAUGACAAAACGUUGUUGCGACAGCAUUCCUGCGUAGUACGAGAGGAACCGCAGGUACGGAUCAAUGGUACAAUACUUGUUCGAGCGAACAGUGGUAUGACGCUACGUCCGUUGGAUUAUGCCUGAACGCCUCUAAGGUCGUAUCCGUGCUGGCCUGCAAUGAUAAAUAAGGGGCAAUUUGCAUUGUAUGGCGUCUAAACCAUUUAAAGUUUAUAAUUUACUUUAUAAACGGCAAUGGAUGUGAUGCCAAUGUAAUUUGUAACAUAGUAAAUUGGGAGGAUCUUCGAUCACCUGAUGCCGCGCUAGUUACAUAUAAAAGCAUUAUAU